RNAcentral lists this ribosomal RNA (1861 nucleotides) under Escherichia coli. Its description in RNAcentral is "partial 23S ribosomal RNA". It matches the Rfam family "Bacterial large subunit ribosomal RNA", at positions 418 to 2264 of the family's 2925-position model. The record is from RNAcentral. Lineage: Bacteria; Pseudomonadati; Pseudomonadota; Gammaproteobacteria; Enterobacterales; Enterobacteriaceae.
CGGGACACGUGGUAUCCUGUCUGAAUAUGGGGGGACCAUCCUCCAAGGCUAAAUACUCCUGACUGACCGAUAGUGAACCAGUACCGUGAGGGAAAGGCGAAAAGAACCCCGGCGAGGGGAGUGAAAAAGAACCUGAAACCGUGUACGUACAAGCAGUGGGAGCACGCUUAGGCGUGUGACUGCGUACCUUUUGUAUAAUGGGUCAGCGACUUAUAUUCUGUAGCAAGGUUAACCGAAUAGGGGAGCCGAAGGGAAACCGAGUCUUAACUGGGCGUUAAGUUGCAGGGUAUAGACCCGAAACCCGGUGAUCUAGCCAUGGGCAGGUUGAAGGUUGGGUAACACUAACUGGAGGACCGAACCGACUAAUGUUGAAAAAUUAGCGGAUGACUUGUGGCUGGGGGUGAAAGGCCAAUCAAACCGGGAGAUAGCUGGUUCUCCCCGAAAGCUAUUUAGGUAGCGCCUCGUGAAUUCAUCUCCGGGGGUAGAGCACUGUUUCGGCAAGGGGGUCAUCCCGACUUACCAACCCGAUGCAAACUGCGAAUACCGGAGAAUGUUAUCACGGGAGACACACGGCGGGUGCUAACGUCCGUCGUGAAGAGGGAAACAACCCAGACCGCCAGCUAAGGUCCCAAAGUCAUGGUUAAGUGGGAAACGAUGUGGGAAGGCCCAGACAGCCAGGAUGUUGGCUUAGAAGCAGCCAUCAUUUAAAGAAAGCGUAAUAGCUCACUGGUCGAGUCGGCCUGCGCGGAAGAUGUAACGGGGCUAAACCAUGCACCGAAGCUGCGGCAGCGACGCUGAUGCGUUGUUGGGUAGGGGAGCGUUCUGUAAGCCUGUGAAGGUGUGCUGUGAGGCAUGCUGGAGGUAUCAGAAGUGCGAAUGCUGACAUAAGUAACGAUAAAGCGGGUGAAAAGCCCGCUCGCCGGAAGACCAAGGGUUCCUGUCCAACGUUAAUCGGGGCAGGGUGAGUCGACCCCUAAGGCGAGGCCGAAAGGCGUAGUCGAUGGGAAACAGGUUAAUAUUCCUGUACUUGGUGUUACUGCGAAGGGGGGACGGAGAAGGCUAUGUUGGCCGGGCGACGGUUGUCCCGGUUUAAGCGUGUAGGCUGGUUUUCCAGGCAAAUCCGGAAAAUCAAGGCUGAGGCGUGAUGACGAGGCACUACGGUGCUGAAGCAACAAAUGCCCUGCUUCCAGGAAAAGCCUCUAAGCAUCAGGUAACAUCAAAUCGUACCCCAAACCGACACAGGUGGUCAGGUAGAGAAUACCAAGGCGCUUGAGAGAACUCGGGUGAAGGAACUAGGCAAAAUGGUGCCGUAACUUCGGGAGAAGGCACGCUGAUAUGUAGGUGAAGCGACUUGCUCGUGGAGCUGAAAUCAGUCGAAGAUACCAGCUGGCUGCAACUGUUUAUUAAAAACACAGCACUGUGCAAACACGAAAGUGGACGUAUACGGUGUGACGCCUGCCCGGUGCCGGAAGGUUAAUUGAUGGGGUCAGCGCAAGCGAAGCUCUUGAUCGAAGCCCCGGUAAACGGCGGCCGUAACUAUAACGGUCCUAAGGUAGCGAAAUUCCUUGUCGGGUAAGUUCCGACCUGCACGAAUGGCGUAAUGAUGGCCAGGCUGUCUCCACCCGAGACUCAGUGAAAUUGAACUCGCUGUGAAGAUGCAGUGUACCCGCGGCAAGACGGAAAGACCCCGUGAACCUUUACUAUAGCUUGACACUGAACAUUGAGCCUUGAUGUGUAGGAUAGGUGGGAGGCUUUGAAGUGUGGACGCCAGUCUGCAUGGAGCCGGCCUUGAAAUACCACCCUUUAAUGUUUGAUGUUCUAACGUUGACCCGUGAUCCGGGUUGCGGACAGUGUCUGGUGG